Long non-coding RNA from Bombus pascuorum, 2289 nucleotides. RefSeq lists it as uncharacterized. The record is from RefSeq and is a predicted model, not a curated record. Lineage: Eukaryota; Metazoa; Arthropoda; Insecta; Hymenoptera; Apidae. The transcript is spliced from 3 exons.
GACGCACGUGUGAUCCGUAGUUCGAAGAUCAGCUGGAAAGUUUAUUCCCGGCUUUUCACUCGGACCUGGAAUUUUGCAGACACACCGUGUAUAGAUUUUUGGCAGAGCCCUCCGGUUCUUAACCGGCGACUUCUUGUUUCUUGACGCUCUAGAUCCACGUCCACGUGCAAACAGCGCAGACUCGACUCGUUGCUCUUCCUCUGGCAAAGGUGUGUAUGCAUGCCAGUCAGAAGACCUUCAGUCUGACGUUAAACGUUCAAUUCCGCGGGUAGCUAUUGCGUCGCUUCGACAGUACGAAACACCCACGCGCUCACCCGUUCCGUUUUCCCGAAACGUAUCGAACAUCGAUUGUUGUUCUACGGUCUCGUUUCGCGAUUUCCUUCUGUCUGUCGACUUGACUUCUAAUUGAUCGUUUCUGACGAUCGCUCGUGUUGUCCGCGAAUCGGGAUUAAACUCAUUGGGGUGUCUAUCGAUCGAUUUGUUCUUCGUGUAAAUUGAUCGAAUGAUCGUAUUUUUUGUGCCAGAAAAAUUUUUAACUUCGUACAUUAGAUUAUAUAAUUGUUCGAGGCCGUGAUGCAUAUUAUGAUUGAUCCAGUUGGAAUUAUAGCCAAUAAUAGUUAAGCACCGACGGCUGAAAUUGGAUUUUUGGAGGGAACGAGAAUUAUUGACCUCACGGAACAACUGUGAAGUUCACUUUUACUUGAUGAAGCAUGAAGCUACAUUGCGGCUCUUUGAGUCCGUGGUUCGAUAAAUAAAUAACUGGUGUCGGUAUCUUCGUCAUUGUUGUGCGUUUAUUUUUGGAAAACCGUGAACGAUAAUAAUUUCGUGAUAUCAUUAAUAAAAAUCAAACCACGGCGCGCGCAUUCGUUGUCUCUAGUAAAAAUACACGUGUAGCAAGGUUUGCGGCUAAUGCGUUGGUGAUUUAAUGAUUCGAGCAUGAGAGACGUAAAACGCCUUGCAAGCACUCGUCGGGAGUAGGAAUGUUAUAAAUCCUCUCUCAUGAGAGAGAUGAAAGUCUCUUUAUUUCUUUUCUCAUAAUUUUUAAAAGAGAAAGAGUGCUUGCAAAGAAUUUCACUGUGUCUGGACUUUAUUUUCGUUUGAACUGCCAUCAGUGUCGUCUGUGUUUAAACGUCAUUCAAUAAAUAUUGGAAUCUGGUUGGAUUGUUGAGGCAUCAACGCCAAACAAAGAACUAUAUACGUCAAUUUUGUACACUUCGGAAGAAUAGUGGUACCAUUGAUGAGUACGUACAACUGUAUGCACAAGGCAGUGUAUCAGCCACAAGUCGAUGUCGUUUCUAUAUCUACGGGGUUGAUUAAAGUGAUGAAGGAGCGGCUUCGAUAAGCCUUAGCUUGAUCGAUGUCAAUUAAAUUCUCAUUUUUACUUGAUACAUCUUAUCGACCUCACUAUUCGAUUAUUUCAAAUAAACAAAAAAUCUCUCAAAAUCUGUAGAAAAUCGUUCGAUCAAUUCAUCAUCAAUCAAUUAUUUAGCAACUGAGAUUUGAAUCGUUUUAUUUUUAAAAUAUGAAAAUAAUUAUUUUUCCUGAUUAAAUUUAUAUUUUCGUAUAUCGAUCGUGACUAAAUAUGUCAUAAUUUUAAAAAUAACCGAGGCAUUAAAGGGAUAGUAUUUUCUUUAAGAUCUCCUUACUUUUUGGUAAUUGUCUUGGAACUCGGUGGAAAGGGUAUGCAAGCAAAGGUAUAAUAAAUGCGACGAUCUAGCCAAAAUGCCAAUGUACUGUCAACCGACUUUUGCCGUAGAAAGAACGCGUAACCUUUAAGCUGGUGAAAUCUUCUAACAUAAUAAUUUGCUUCUACCAAUCCACUUACAAAAUUUAUUUGUCAGUAAAGUUAUGGGUUAUUUCAAACGUUUGGUAUUUAUUGUUAUAAUACGGAAAGUAUCUACAAAUUAAAAAGGAACUGAACAAUCUCAUCUUCAUGCACCACCAAAUUUCAUUCAAUCUAAUUGCCACUUACAAUUAACUCUAUACGACCGACCUCUCAUACGCUACAAUAAAUAUCCUAUACAUAGACGAAUAAAAUUAAAUUAGUAGAAUGAAAAUAAAAAAAUAUAUAGAUGUAUACAAAAAGUCUUAUUUUGAUAAUUCUAGUCUUAAAUAAUACAAAUUCUAAUCUCUCGUUUAAAAUCUUAAAUCGUAUACGUUGUUGAAUAAAGAAAAAGAAAAAAAAGAAAACGAAAGAAAAGAAUCAGUGGAAUUAUUCGUGGAUGUAACGUAAUAUUCUUCCAUUGGGGAAGUCCCGCACAAAAAUGUCCAUACGUAACAUCAUCGCGU